GUUAUGGCUACCCAGGUGAUGGGGCAGUCUUCUGGAGGAGGAGGGCUAUUCACUGGCAGUGGCAACAUUGGCAUGGCCUUGCCCAACGACAUGUAUGACUUGCAUGACCUCUCCAAAGCUGAACUGGCUGCUUCUCAGCUUAUCAUGCUAGCAAACGUGGCCUUAACUGGGGAAGUGAAUGGCAGCUGCUGUGAUUACCUGGUUGGUGAAGAAAGACAGAUGGCAGAAUUGAUGCCUGUUGGGGAUAACAACUUUUCAGAUAGUGAUGGAGAAGGACUUGAGGAAUCUCCUGAAAUAAAAGGUGAACCUAAUGGACUCGAAAACAUGGAACUGAGAAGUUUGGAAGCCAGUGUUGUAGAACCACAGCCUGUAUUUGAGGCAUCAGCUGCUCCAGAAAUUUACAGCUCAAAUAAAGAUCUUCCUAAUGAAACACCUGGAGCAGAGGACAAAUGCAAGAACUUGAAGACCAAACCCUUUUGCUGUAAGCCAUGCCAAUAUGAAGCAGAAUCUGAAGAACAAUUUGUGCAUCAUAUCAGAGUUCAUAGUGCCAAGAAGUUUUUUGUGGAAGAAAGUGCAGAGAAGCAAGCAAAAGCCAGAGAAUCUGGCUCUUCCACUGCUGAAGAGGGAGAUUUCUCUAAGGGCCCCAUUCGCUGUGACCGCUGUGGCUACAAUACCAAUAGAUAUGAUCACUAUACUGCACACCUGAAACACCACACAAGAGCUGGAGAUAACGAGUGAGUCUACAAGUGCAUCAUUUGCACUUACACAACAGUAAGCGAGUAUCACUGGAGGAAACACUUAAGAAACCAUUUUCCAAGGAAAGUAUACACAUGUGGUAAAUGCAACUAUUUUUCAGACAGAAAAAACAAUUACGUUCAGCACGUUCAAACUCAUACAGGAGAACGCCCAUAUAAAUGUGAACUUUGUCCUUAUUCAAGUUCUCAGAAGACUCAUCUAACUAGACAUAUGCGUACUCAUUCAGGUGAGAAGCCAUUUAAAUGUGAUCAGUGCAGUUAUGUGGCCUCUAAUCAACAUGAAGUAACUCGCCAUGCAAGACAGGUUCACAAUGGGCCUAAACCUCUUAAUUGCCCCCACUGUGACUACAAAACAGCAGAUAGAAGCAACUUCAAAAAACAUGUAGAGCUACAUGUGAGCCCACGGCAGUUUAAUUGCCCUGUAUGCGACUAUGCAGCUUCCAAAAAGUGUAAUCUACAGUAUCAUUUCAAAUCUAAGCAUCCUACUUGUCCUAAUAAAACAAUGGAUGUGUCAAAAGUGAAAUUAAAGAAAACCAAAAAGCGAGAGGCUGACUUACUUGAUAACAGUACUACCAAUGAAAAAACAGAAACAGAGCAAACGAAAAUAAAAGGGGAUGUAGCUGGAAAGAAAAAUGAGAGGUCUGUGAAAGUGGAGAAAAAAGAUAAUGUUUCAAAAGAGAAAAAACCUUGUAGCAAUGUUUCAAUGAUUCAGGUCACUACCAGAACUCGCAAGUCAGCAACAGAAGCUAAAGACAUGGAUGUGCACACAAGAAAUAAUUCAGAAAAAUCCUGUAAAGCCAAGAAAAGCAAAAGGAAGAUGGAAAUUGAAGCCCAUUCCAUGCAUGAUCCUGUGAAUGAUGAGGAAUCUGUGACAAAAAAGAAAAGGAAGAUAGAAGGUAAAUCCAAAAAUAGUCAGGAAGUACCAAAGGGUGAUAACAAAGUGGAGGAGAAUAAAAAACAAAAUACCUGCGUGAAAAAAAAUACAAAGAAGAAAACCCUAAAAAAUAAACAAAGUAAAAAAAGCAGCAAGCCUUCUCAGAAAGACACCUCUCAGAAGGAACCUGUUCAAAAGGAGACUAGUCAGAAGGGGCCUGUUCAAGAUGUUCAGAAGGGGCCCCUGCAGAUAGAGUUGCCUCUACCCAUGGAACCUGUUCAAGUAGAGUCUGCUCACAUGGAGGUGGUUCAGAAGGGGCCUGUUCAAGUAGAGCCUGCUCACAUGGAGGUGGUUCAGAAGGGGCUUGUUCAAGUAGAGCCUGCUCAGGUGGAAGUGGUUCACCAGAAGUCUGCUCACAUGGAGCUGAUCCCUCCUAUGGAGACUGUCCACAUGGAGGAGGUUGUUCACAAGGGGCCUUCUCACGUGGAGCUGCCCCCUCCUGUGGAGUCUUCUCAUAUGGAAGAGGUUCAGAAGGAGCCUGCUGAGAUGGAGCUGCCCUCUUCUAUGGAAUCUCCUCUUACAGAGGAUGUUCAGAAGGGGCCUCUGCAGAUAGAGUUGCCUCUACCCAUGAAACCUGUUCAGAUGGGGCCUGUUAACAUGGAGUCUGUUCAGAUGGAAGUUGUUCAGAAGGAGCCUGCUCAGAUGGAGCUGUCUCCUCCCAUAGAUCCUCCUGUUCACAAUGAGCCAAUUCCCCAAAAGACUUCUCCCCGAAAAGAUAACAGAAAGGAAAGGUCCAAUAUGCAGAGUGAAAUGACACGUAAGGAGCAAGUCCUUAUUGAAGUAGGCUUAGUGCCUGUUAAAGAUAGCCAGAUUCUAAAGGAAAAUAAAAGCACACAGGAACUUUUGGCAUCAUCAACACCACUGCCAAAGGAAGACUUAAGAGAGGAGGAGUCAGAAGACCAAAAAUUACUCUCAGAAGGUGAAAGAAACAAAGAAGACCCUUUUCUGAAAGUAGGAACAGAAGAAGCAGAGAAGAGUGUAGCCGAUUCCUGUACCAAGGAAUCUAGUACUAGUGUUUCAUCUUCUGGACAAAAGUUGAAUAUGCCAGGUGGUGAAACUUUAGCUGAUAAGCAUCAGACUGACUCAGCUAUGCUUUGUGAAGUGGAAAUGGAUACUGAUCAUAACCCAGCAGAGAAUCUCCCUGAUAAAGUCUCAGCAGUUGGAGAACCAGUUUCACCAUUGCUUCUUCCCCCACCAAUAGGCAAACACGAAGCAGUGUCCCAAACUGUGCUGGCUUCACCUCCUGUUACUGUGGCAGUAAAUGAGUCUCAGGAAAUUGACGAAGAUGAAGGUAUCCACAGUCAUGACGGAAGUGACCUAAGUGACAACAUGUCAGAGGGUAGUGAUGAUUCUGGAUUGCAUGGGGCUCGUCCAGUUCCACAAGAAGCUAGUACAAAAGAUGCAAAAGAAGCCUUGGCAGGCAAAAGGACUGAGGGAGAUUUUGUUUGCAUCUUCUGUGAUCGUUCUUUUAGGAAAGAAAAAGAUUACAGCAAACACCUCAAUCGCCAUUUGGUUAAUGUGUAUUUCCUUGAAAAAGCAGCUAAAGGGCAGGAGUAAUUAAAGAUUGGGACAAGGUUCCAGUUCUUGGUUUGUAAGAGCUAUUAAUUUUUAUAUUCAUUUAUAAUAGUAGA
Marmota flaviventris (yellow-bellied marmot) is the source of this 3320-nucleotide non-coding RNA. Lineage: Eukaryota; Metazoa; Chordata; Mammalia; Rodentia; Sciuridae. The record is from RefSeq and is a predicted model, not a curated record.